This 220-nucleotide ribosomal RNA is filed under the name uncultured beta proteobacterium. Its description in RNAcentral is "partial 16S rRNA". It matches the Rfam family "Bacterial small subunit ribosomal RNA", at positions 605 to 826 of the family's 1533-position model. The record is from RNAcentral. Lineage: Bacteria; Pseudomonadati; Pseudomonadota; Betaproteobacteria.
GGACUCAACCGGGAACUGCAUUUGAGACUGCCGGCUGGAGUUUGGCAGAGGGGGGUGGAAUUCCACGUGUAGCAGUGAAAUGCGUAGAGAUGUGGAGGAACACCGAUGGCGAAGGCAGCCCCCUGGGCCAAUACUGACGCUCAUGCACGAAAGCGUGGGGAGCAAACAGGAUUAGAUACCCUGGUAGUCCACGCCCUAAACGAUGUCAACUAGGUGUUGG